This 495-nucleotide ribosomal RNA is filed under the name uncultured bacterium. RNAcentral's name for it is "partial 16S ribosomal RNA". It matches the Rfam family "Bacterial small subunit ribosomal RNA", at positions 28 to 507 of the family's 1533-position model. The record is from RNAcentral.
GACGAACGCUGGCGGCGUGCCUAAUACAUGCAAGUAGAACGCUGAAGGAGGAGCUUGCUUCUCUGGAUGAGUUGCGAACGGGUGAGUAACGCGUAGGUAACCUGCCUGGUAGCGGGGGAUAACUAUUGGAAACGAUAGCUAAUACCGCAUAAUAGUAGAUGUUGCAUGGCAUUUGCUUAAAAGGUGCAAUUUCAUCACUACCAGAUGGACCUGCGUUGUAUUAGCUAGUUGGUGAGGUAACGGCUCACCAAGGCAACGAUACAUAGCCGACCUGAGAGGGUGAUCGGCCACAACGGGACUGAGACACGGCCCAGACUCCUACGGGAGGCAGCAGUAGGGAAUCUUCGGCAAUGGACGGAAGGCUGAACGAGCAACGCCGCGUGAGUGAAGAAGGGUUUCGGAUCGUAAAGCUCUGUUGUAAGAGAAGAACGAGUGUGAGAGUGGAAAGUUCACACUGUGACGGUAUCUUACCAGAAAGGGACGGCUAACUACGUG